GUCAUCCUUAGGUAAUUUGUCUAAGGUUGAAUCAUUAGAUCUCUCAUCAAACAAGCUUGACGGACGAAUUCCGGCUCAGUUAAAUAAUCUUGGAUUCUUAGCGGUAUUAAACCUUUCUUGGAAUAAUUUCAUUGGAUCCAUUCCUAGAGGCAGACAAUUUGAUACUUUCACAAAUGAUAGCUACAUUGGGAACUUGGGUUUAUGUGGAUUCCCAUUAUCAAAAAGCUGUGGAAACGAUCAGGGUUUGGAACCACCUCCAACAAUAUUUGAUGAUGAUGAAGAUACAACAAAAGAAUUGAACUGGAGAUUUUCUAUAUUGAUGGGGUAUGGAUCUGGGCUAGUAUUCGGAUUGAGUAUGGGAUACAUCGUGUUCACAACUGGAAAACCGUCGUGGUUCAUUAAGAUGACCAAAAGAGUUCAGCAAAAAUAUGUUAGAAGGACAUAAUUAAUGCUCUCAGGUGAGUUUUAGUACUUCUAAAAGUAUAACAGUAUUUAAUUACCAUUAACAUUUUUCUUUUUAUCAAGAUGUAAGGUUUAGCUUUGACAAGGUUUAAAAAAUUUCCCAGGUUGGAUGUGUUCCAGUUAAGGACAAUACUCCCAAGGGAAGCCGAAUCAUCCAAUAAGACAUUGGCAAAAAUAGGAUUUUGACAAGGAGAUUUUUCAAGCCUUGUGUGGUAUGGGUUCUACCAUUUUAUAUAUUGUCGUGAACUUUCUUUUGUAUAUAUUCUCACAGCUUUUGUUCGACCCUUGAGAUGAUUUCCUUUUCUUUUUUCAGAUUAUUAGAUUGUUAGUCAAUAAUUUCAGUUGUAUUAUUCUUAUCCUAUUUAUUUUAUAGAUGAUUUUCAUGUGACCUUUUUGAGAUUAUGGUAUGUAUUUUCAACAUGAUAUAUAUCUUCAACUAUCUUAAGUAUGAGUCCAUGCAUUCUCUCUCUCUGGUUAUUGCUUUGUGUGUACAUCUUCAACUUUUCUUAAGCGCAAUAUAUCUUCAAUGUUAAUACUUCAACUCUCUUGAUGCUCAAUGUAGAAGGAAAAAAAAAAAGUUUUGAUAGUUAAGGAGCACUGUUGUCCUUCAAAUUGGAUAGAUUUCUCAAAUUGGUUUUGCAUAUCUCUUCCUUCAAGAAAGCAAUCUUUUGCAGUCAAAUUUAUGCACAUAUUUCACUGAAUUAAUUAAAGCCUUGGAAUCGAUUGAGAAGCUGUUCCAAAUAUCCUAGGUUUUUUCUAGAGAAAUAUAAGUUUCAGCACAACUUCCUAAGCAUAUUUUUCUCUUUUUCAAGUGAGUAUUUUUAUUGCUCUAACACGACCAACCUCAUGCAUAGUAUUAAGAUUUUCAUCCCAGAGAUUACAGAUUUUUUUCCCUUUUUUUCUUAGCUCAAAUUUUGAAUUAUUUUUCUUUUUUUUUCUUAUGUCAUCUUUUGAUCGUAAAGAUGGAUUUAAUUAUUCAAGAUUGAUGACAAUUAUUUUUCUUUUUUUUCCUUUUUUUUUUCAUACCUCAAAUUUUGGAAUUAUUUUUCUUUUCUUUUUUUUACCUUAACUCAUCUUUUGAUCCUAAAAAUGGAUUUAAUUAUUCAAGAUUGAUGACAUCUGCAAGCUUGCUCAAAAGUUCUAUCUUGAUGAGCUUACUCAUCAAGAAAAAUUGCAUAUGCAGCAUGAAUUAUGGUAUUUUGAACUUGAUAUUAAGAGAGAUCCAUAUUUGCAAAGUGUUUCAACUCUCUCAAAGCUAUGUCAGUUAAUGUUAAAAGCAGAAAAAUCAGUUGUAUAUCUUCUCUUGUAUCGUUUAAUUGUAUAUGAAAUAUGAAUUGGAGCAUUUUGAACUUGAUAUUAGGCAAGAUCCAUGUUGGCAAAGUGUUUCAACUCCCUUAGAGCUAUGCCAGUUAAUGUCAAAGACAGAAAAAUCAAUUGUAUAUCCAUUCUUAUAUUAUUUAGUUUGACUUAUUUUAACUCUUCUAGUUUCUAUAACAACUACAGAACAUGCAUUUUUAGUUAGAAAAAUUAUAAAGACGAAGUUGCAUAAUAAGAUAGAAAAUGAUUUUGUUGCUAAUUAUUCACUUAUUUUUUAUAUUUAGAAAGAGAUUGUCAACACCAUUUGUCGUGACGUGCAGGUUCGAGAAUCCGACCACUAGACAUGGAGCACUAGGAGUCGCCACCAAUCUUUUUUAUCUAGGUGUGAUUGGCCCCUUAUUGACUCUACUUUAAUCGACAAGGUCCUAAAUUGACUUUAGGUCCGUCAAAAGAAUGAUAAAUUAGUUUACGGGCUUUAGAGUGGGUUCAAGAGUAUGGUUACUCAUAGGGAAGGAUUAGCACCCCUGUGACACCCGUUCCAUAAACGGUACCAUUUAAUUAUAUAUUAUCCUAUGAUAACCUAAACUGUUGAUUUUAUUAGCAAAUUAAAACAGUUUAUUCGAUUUUAUCGGUGUGACGUGCACAUGAUGCAAUUAUGAAAUACAUGGCAUAAAAUCUGAAUAAUGACAAGCGAAAACUUUUUAUUGAGGAAGUUUCUCAAAUUUGUUCAUCAUACUAAUGGGAUCCGAGGAUAUUCUCUCACUUAAGGAAGUACUUGGGAAACUUGUCUUCGCCAAUUUAACAAGUAAAUCCCAUCAUCAGGGUAGUCGUUUGCACGUAAAAAUAAUAUUUUUCGUGAAUGCAAUCAUUAACACGAGUGAAAGACUUAUAUGAAGGACAUUCUCUGAGCCCUCCUAUUGUACUGGUGAGACUCGAAAGUAUCAUUUUACCUAAAGAAUUUUUUGAAAGAACUCGCAUUCGCAAGCUCUCUUGUAAUGUCCCAUUAUUGGGGUUUUGACUCGUACACACAAUAUGUCUACAUGACAUGACAUUUAAACGAUGCAAUAAUGGUGCGUGACGUGCUACAAAUUCCAAUGUCCAUUAUUAAUCACUAUCACUACAAUUUUAUCAUUUUUAAAAUUUACUUUUUAUUGCUUUUUUUUAACUUUAAUAUAUUUUAUGCUUUAGUUGCUCUCUUUCCCAUAUAUCUUUUAGAAAGCAAAAUUAUUCACUUACUUAUUUUAUUACUUUUCUUCCUAUAUGUGUUUUACAUAGCUAAAGAUUUUAUUAUUUUUUUGUAUCUACCCUUUAAAUUUUCCUUGUUUAUCAUUGCAAAACUCUAUAUUGUCUUAUGUAUUUUAUCUAUUAUUUUUGUGCUUAUUAUGAUUAUCAAUAUUAUCAUUUUUUAUAUUUAUUUUUAUAAUUUUUUUUACACUUAUUUAAGAUUAUAAAUAUUGAAACUCGAAAUUAAAACCCUCCGAUUAUACUGGUGGAGUUUUAAUCAAAAUCCUUCACCAAGGAAAAUUAAUUCGGGAUUGAGACUUCUCGCAUCCCAAACGAAUGCCCAUCAUCAUGUCAAUUCAAAAUAACCAAAAGAAAUUUUUAUCAUAUUUCUUCUUUAUAUAUAUAUAUAUAUAUAUAGCUAAAUAUUUUAUUAUUACCUUUUUCAUGUCUGUUUAUGUAUAUUUUAUAUAACUAAAUAUUUCAUCUUUUCUUUUGCUUUUUACAUCUAUCUAAGUACAUUUAAGUCAUUAUUUUCAUCCUAAUCAUUCUAACGAAAUAGAAUAGACUUAAAAUAAAAUAAGAUAAGCGUUCCAAGAAAUUCACCUUUAAUGGACUAGGCAAGAGUCCAUUAUUUUUUGUCAUUGUUGGGCUUUCACAAAUUUAGGCCUUAUCCACUUUUCUUUUUCCCUUUCUGUUGGUCCCAUUUUAUUUUCUUCUUUUCUCUUUUCUUUCAGUGGGCUUUUUCUAUGGGCUAUCCCAUUGCUUUCCUCGACUUCUUUUUUUUGGAUUUUCUUUCUAUUUGGGCUUUAUACUUUAGAUGGCCCACUUUCCCUUUUUUUUCUUUCUUUUCUCUUUUUUGGUGCCCUAGUCGCCUCCAUUUUUUCUUUUCUCUUUUUUCCUUUGUUUUUUCUUUUUUCUUUUCUUUGUUUUCAUUCUCGCUUCUUUCUCUCUCUUUCCCACUCCUUUUUUCUUUUACUCUCACUUUCCCUAAAUGACAUCGUUUUGGUGCCCUUUCUAACCCAACCCUAACUAUUUAAACUUUUUUUUCGAUCUCCACCGUCAUUUCUUUCACCCCUUUUAUCUCUAUAACCACCAUUCUUUCUUUCUCUUUUUGAAAGAAAUCCGGCCACCACAAAUACCGAUCGGUAUUAGUGACCACUGUCGGCCACCACUGUCAUCGCAAGCCUCCGUUUGCUGGCACAAAAAAAUCCUCAAAAUUUCACUAAAGGUUCCUUUCAAUCUCCUCUACCCUUUAAUCGGAUUACUUUUUCCCAAAAACCUCUCAUUUCUCCUAGAUCUAAGAAAAAUGAGACUUAAAAAACUACUAUUUUUUGGGUUAUGGUUAUGAGGUUGCUAGAAGCUAAGGUGUAAAACCCGACCCUAUAAAUACAUGUCAUGACAUACAUGCACUGAGUAGUAUGUUAUUAUGUUAGGAAAAGCACCUAAGAAUAGACGAAACUCGGUAUUGUACCUAAUGGUACACUUGAGUUGAUUUAACCUCGAACUAGUUCAAAUAGGAAUUUUAGGAUGAAAUUUAAUAUUUUAUAGUCCAAGAAUGACUAAAAAUGAUUGUUCGGAGUUCGAGGGUUCAUUUGGGGUAAAAUUAGAAAUUUUGAUAUUCAAGGGCAAAAUCGUCAUUUUGCCACCUAAGAUAAUAAUUUGAUCAUGGAGUGAAAUUUUUGACCAAGAUUAACUAUUUGGAGUAUAAUUUAAUGAUAGGAAGUGAAAAAGUUUAAUUUUGGUAAUUUUUGGAGUGUAAGGGCAAAAUCGUAAUUUUGCCACCCACGGACAAAAUUUGAGAUUUUGAGAGAAUUUAGAUCAAAUUUGACAAAUUUGAGAAUGGUAUGAGUAUAAGGGAUGAAAAAUAUGUCUAUGGGCAAUUUUUCAAUUUUUGGGGCAAAAAUGUAAUUUUUGACUUUUACGGGGGCAAAAGUGUAAAUUUCAAAAAUUUCUCCACCGAGACUUUGGAUGAGUCUGAGAAUUUUAUCUAAAGCUAUGAAUAUAUGAGACAAGUGUAUGGUAAAAAUUUGGAAACAAAUGGAUGAAAUUUUAAAAAUGGGCCAAUGGGAAAGUGACACGUGGCAUUUUUUUAAUGAAAUAAUAUUAUUUUAAUGAAAAGUCAGCCAUUUAAACCCAAAUUUUGAGUGCUGGCCGGCCAUAAGGAAGAAAAAGAGAGGAAAUAGAGAGGAAAGGAAGAAAAAAAGAAAAACCAAAGAGAAACAAGAAAAUUCAAAGGGAAAUUCGCGGUUUUCGACCGUUUACGCGUCUAACGGUAAGAUUUUUCGAUUUUAGCUUGAUUUCUACCUUUCCUAUGCCUUUAUUUCCAUUUAGCAUGCUUGAGGAGAGAGAUCAAAAAGUGAUAUCAAGGGCUGGACGAAAUUCUAGGGGAGAGAAAUUGAAAUUUUUAGGUUUUGAUUUUUAGUUAAAUUGAUAGUUUUAGUUAGUUAAAUGUGUUUAGAAAUUAAAUUGGGCAAGAAAUCAUUAAAUUUUCACAAUACCCACUCUUGGCUGGAUGCUCAAUGCUGUACAAUGAUGAUGAAUUGAUUUUAUUCUAAGGAAAAUGAAGAGAAAAUGAUGAAAAACGAUUAAACGUGAUAGAAAAACAAAGUAGAAAAUUAACCGAGUUAAUGUCCCAUUUUUGGCCGAAUUUUCCAAGGAAGGGAGUGAGCUGAUUUUGUUGUUUUUAGAAGGUUAUUGGCUGAUAUUUAAUGGUUAGAAAUGUUGGAGAGAGAAUGGGAUGAUUUAGAGCUAAAAUGGAGCGCGUUAGCAAUUUAUCGGGCAAAGUGCCAAAAAUAGGUUAAUACCGCGUUUAAGCCGUUUUAGGCUAUUGCAUUUCAUACCAUGCAUUAGUAUAGGAUUUAAGUUAAUUAUAUAGUGAUUUAGCAUCAAUGUGAUGAAUUGUGUAAAUUUUUGUAAUGUGUCUAGGAGGAGAGCCUUCCGGAAAAGGCAAAGAAGUCGUACCCGACGAGUAGUGAUCGGGGCGCUUAGAAAGCUUUUAGUUUGUACAAACGGUGAGUAAACUUAUUAUUAUUGUAAAUUAUCUAGAGUUUAUUUUUAAAUGCCCUUUAUGUAUUUUAUGAAAUGAAAACGAGAUUAAAACGGGAUUUUUGAUGUUUUAGGAAUAAAUGUGACAAAUAAAAAUAUAUUGUAUUGAUUAUGAAAUUGAGUAAUUGGAGGCUACAAAUUGACUUGAAAAAUAUAUAUUUUCCUAGGAAUGGCUUAUGAGAAAUGAGUAUAUGUGGCUAUAUUUUGUGAAUGCAUUGGGAAAUUUAUGUAAGUUGUUUUACUAUGCAGGCUGGAUAAAUAAAUAAAAGCCACGUUAUACUGUCGAAAUUUUAUUAAAAUUGGUGGGUUAGUCACUGCAGUGACGGGUUUCCGUGGACUGCCUAUUAGAGGGGCACGGUAAACCCAGUUAUAUAGUUACUCCGGUUGUAGAGGCGAGGAGGGUAACUCCUGGGGUAGUAUUAGAGCUCACUUCACGUCGAACCCCCACGUGAAUGUGUAACUCGGCCAACGCCAAGGAACGGCUGGUUUUAAAAAUAAAAAUGUGUUUCACGUGUGAAUAUUUUAACACCCUUGGCGGACUCGGUUAGAUGCCUCGGCCAAGGUAUCCCCGAGGAUUAGUUUUGGCUUGAGCCUUGUUUUAAUAAAAGACAUAAGCCUUAACAACUGUUUUGGUAAAUUACAAAUAUUUUAUGGUUUAAGAAAUAAAUUGAAAACAUUAUGAAAUGGGUUGAAAUUUGUUGUUUAAACUUGCCUCCAUUUUACUCGCCUUUAGAUAUUUAUGAUAAUGUCUGUUUACUCAUUGGGAUUGCAAAAUCUCACCCAACUCCUUUCCACCCAUUUCAGGUUCAGUAUAGACUGUAGAUAGCUGAUCUCAUCGAGGACUACCAUUGGAUCUGCAUUUUCCAAACCGUAGGUUCACAGUCCUCUUUACUUUUGUUUAUUCGGGGGCCCUCUUGUUAUUGUAAAUUAAAUUAAAUAUUUUGGCUUACUGUAUUUCAGUAUGUAUAAAUUUAUUUAGCUUUUACGCUAUAAAAAUUAUUCACGUAUAACUCUAUAAAUAUUGUUUUAUAAGAAAAUAGAAUAUUUUCCUUAAUAUUUCUUUUAUUUUCUUAUUAUAUUCAAAUAAUCGUAAUUUCGUUUUAAAUGAAGAUUUUAGACUUUUAAACUCAUUUUGAAUAUGAAUUAUGUGUUUUGUACUUGUAUAUUACGUUUUAGCCAGUUUCGAAAUUUUUGAGAAAAACAUGACCAAAAUACCCCUGUGUGGCGAAAAUUUUAUUUUGAUUGUUUUUGAUCUAAAAUAGUGUAUAUUCUCUAAAAACUCGAUAUUUAAUAACGAUUGCUCACAGGAAAGGAAAGAAACUGAUAUGUAAGCCUUGCGGGGUUUUGGUUGGCAUUCCGAAUAAUGAGUGUCAAUCGGGACGUCGCGGCGAUUGUCAUGUGCUUGAGGCAGGUUCCGGGUCGUGACAUAAGGUCUUUACUUUUUAUGUUUUCCUUUUUUUUUUGGCAAGGAUAGCAUCUCUAUCACUUCUUCCUCUUUUUUCAAGAUUUUUUCUUAAAAAACACUAUCCUCUUUUCCUUUUUUUUUUUUGUAAUUUGAGGGUUCUUAUAAAACCUAAUUGUCCAUAUUUUUGGACAAUAGGGAGAGGGGGUAAUCAUGUGUUCUAGGUUAAAGGUGAUUUGGAGAGAGAGUCGAGGGUGGCUUUAUGUAGCAAGGAGGUGAUAGCCUUCUAACAGGUUGCCAUCCUUAAACUUUUCUUGGAAAACUUCAAUCACUUAAAGUUUUCAACCUUUCAGACAAUAGUUUAACAGGUCCAAAAACUAUUUUUCACUUGCUCUGCUUUCAUUUGCAUCAUAUAUCUAGCAAAGCAUAACAUGGUAUUAGAGCGUUAAUGAUCUUAGAGGCCUGUUAGCAAGCUUAAAAAACCUUCAUAGCACAUAAACAACCUUCCAUUCAACAAAGUAUGGCAUCAAGUGGCAGUACAACAAGUUUUUUUGCACCAAUCUUCAAUGGUGAGGGUUAUGCAUCAUGGAUUGUCAAAAUGAAGGCUUUUCUAAAAGCAUUUGAUCUUUGAGAAGUUGUUGAACAUGGAGGAGAAACCCCUCAGUUGAAAGCCAAUCCAUUAUAAACCAAAUAAGAUAGCAUAGUGAAGAAGUAGCCAAAAAGUACAAGGCACUAUCUCAUAUUCAUGCUGCUGUAACAGAGUCUAUAUUUGCAAGAAUUAUGGCUUGUGAAACAGCCAAGGAAGCAUGGGAUAUACUUAAAGAGGAGUUUCAAAGGUCAGACAGAACCAAAAAGAUGCAAAUUCUGAAUUUGAUGAGGAAAUUUGAAGUGAUGAAGAUGAAAGAGAAUGAGUCUGUGAAAGAUUUUGUGGAUAAGCUCAUGAAGAUAGUCAACCAAGUUAGGAUUUUUGGGAGUUGAGCUUUCAGAUGCAAGAAUUGUGGAAAAGGUGCUGGUGAGUAUUCAUGAAAUAUUUGAGUCAAAGAUUGCAACUCUUGAGGAAUCUAGAGACUUCACCUUAAUGACAGUGUAAGAGUUGAUAAAUGCUAUUCAAACUGCUGAAACAAGGAGACAAAUCAAGCUUGAUGAGCAUACUGAGAUAGCUUUGCAAGCAAAGUUUGAGGACAAGAAUGUCCUUCAUGACGGCAACAACAAGUUUCAAGAUGAUACAAGGAACAAAGAGAAGGCAACAACUUCAAAUCAGAGGCAACAGGGUAAGAAAACUAGAAAUGUAGUGUGCUCCUAUUGCAAAAAGUCUAACCAUGCUAAAAAAUAUUAUUGGUUUAAGCUAAAUGUUAAGUGCAGGAAGUGUAAUAAGCUUGGUCAUGUGGAAAAGGUAUGCAAAUACAAGGCUACUCAACAAAACCAGCAAGCUAAAGUAUCAGAGGAAGCUGAGACAAUAAAAAAGUUAUUUAUGGCAUCAGAAGGCAAAACGGGAAAGACACAUUAGACUUGGUUAAUUGAUAGUGCUUGUUCAAGCCACAUAUCACCUAAUGCAUCCCUGUUCACCAUAAUUGAUCAUAAUCAAUGUGCAAGGAUAGAAAUUGGGAACAGAGAGUUUCUGAAUGCCAUUGGUAGAGGUAUAGUUGUUGUAUCAACAUCAAAAGGAACCAAGUAUGUCUUACAUGUCUUUCUAGUGCCUCAAGCAUGUCAGAACUUACUUAGUGUUGGUCAAAUGGUAGACAAUGACUAUACCUUGCUGUUUAAAAACAAAGUGUGCACUAUCAUUGAGCCUUUAGGCAAUGUUUUAAUGUCUCUCAAGAUGAGAAAUAGAUGUUUCCCUCUAGAUUGGCAUCACAUGAGUCUAAAAGUUGUUGAAAAGGAUGGUUAUGAUGUGUUUGAGUUAUGGCAUAAGAGAUUUGGGCAUUGAAACUAUUCUACAAUGAAGUUACUGAAAUCUAACAAUUUAGUGACAAAAUUACCCUUCAUACAUGAACACACUGAUAUUUGUGAAGUCUGCCAACUAAGAAAGCAAACAAGGUUGCCAUUUCCUUUGAAAAGCACUAAGAGGGCCUGUGAAAAGCUUGAAUUGAUCUAUUCUGAUGUUUGUGGUCCAAUGAGUGUUGAAUAACUCAGUGGUAGUAAGUACUUUGUGUUGUUCAUUGAUGACUACACCAAGAUACUUGGAUUCAUUUCAUUAAGCUUAAAUCUGAUGUGUCUUCAGUAUUUAAGAAGUUCAAAGCCUUUGUUGAGCUUGAAUCAAUGUGCAAGGUGAAAUUUUUAAGAGCUAACAAUGGAAGGGAGUUCAGUUCAGAUGAGUUUGAAGGGUUUUUAUUUACUACUAGUAUUAAACAUCAAUUCACUGUUCCAUUUUCACCUCAACAAAAUGGGGUUUGUGACCAAAAGAAUAGAACAAUAUUGAAUAUGGUUAGGUGCUUGCUGUUUGCAAAAUCAAUGCCUAAGCAUUUUUGGGUAGAAGCAACAAAUACUGCUUUUUAUCUACAAAAUAUUCUUCCAACAAGGGCUUUGGAGAAGUUGACACCCUAUGAAGCAUGGAAUAAUAUCAAACCUACUGUUGACCAUCUUAAAGUCUUUGGAUGCAUUUGUUAUGUGCAUGUUUUAGAGGCCAAAAGAACCAAGCUGGAACCAAGAGCCAAGUUAAGAGUUUUUCUUGGCUACAAUUUGCAAUCCAAAGGUUAUAGGGUGUUCAAUUUGAGCUCCAAAAAGUUUCCAGUAGCAAGGGAUUUUAAAUUUGAUGAGCAAACUUAUUGGAAUUGGAAGUCAAAAGUGAUUGAGGCUUCAAAAGACAGGCUGAUUGGUCUAGGGACAUUACCAGAAUUGGUUCAUUAACCUUUGAAGAUCCUAAUGAUGAAGAAUUUACAGUCAGGGGCACCGGGACUCUAGAAAGCAUCUAUGACAGAUGCAAUAUGGCCAUUACAGAUACUACAAGUUACUCAGAAACCAAAGAAUUAGUUCACUGACAGGCUGCCAUGAAGGAGGAGCUAAGUGUGAUUGACAAAAACAAAACUUGGUCCUUGCUUGAUAGAACAGAUUCUAUGAAUGUCAUUGGCACCAAAUGGAUUUUUAGAACCAAGUUCCAUGCUGAUGGCUCAAUCAACAAGCAUAAAGCUAGGUUGGUUGUAAAAGGUUAUGCUCAAUGACCAGGAAUUGAUUUUACUAAUACAUUUGCACCAAUGGCCAGAUUUGAGACAAUUAAACUUUUGCUUGCAAUAGCUGGUGGUCUUGGUUGGGAGGUUCAUCAUCUUGAUAUCAAAUCAGCAUUCUUGAAUGGAGUCCUAUAAGACAAUAUUUAUGUUGAAAUACUUGAAGGGCUGAAAGUUAAUGAUAGGGUCAAUAAGGCCUGCAGUUGCAUAAGGCCUUGUAUGGUUUUAAACAAGCCCUUAGGGCCUGGUACAACUGAAUGGAUAGCUAUCUAGAGUCAAAAGGGUUCUACAAGAGUGUAAAUGAACCUACACUUUAUGUCUUAAAGGUCUAGGAUCAAGUAAAGUUGAUGAUUUCUUUAUAUGUAGAUGAUCUGUUUGUUACAAGCAUUGGAAGAAAACUAAUAACUCAAUUCAAGGCAACCACAAAGAUUGAGUUUGACAUGACCGAUUUGGGAUAAAUGAGGUACUACUUGGAUUUCAAAUUGAUCAGUCUGACCAAGGUAUCUUCCUUUAUCAGAAAAACUAUAUUGCUACAGUUUUGAAAAAGUUUAACAUGGAGAAAUGCAAAUCAGUUGCAACUCCAAUGGUUGUAAAUGAUAAAUUCAAUGAUGCUAACUCUCCUAAACUCAUUGAUCCUUCUAUCUACAGAAGCUUAAUUGGUAGUCUACUUUAUCCACGUGGAUCAAGGCCUGACAUCAUGUUUUCAGUGAGUUAUCUCUCAAGAUUUAUGCAAAGUCCUUCUGUUUAGCAUCUUUCAACUGCCAAGAGGAUUUUGAGGUAUUUGCAAGGCACUCUUGACCUUGGCUUACACUUCAAAUACUUGGAUGAAGUAAAAUUAUAUGGUUACAGUGAUAGUGAUUAUGCUGGAGAUGUCAAAGACUUCAAAAGCACCUCUGGUUAUGUGUUUUUCUUAGGAAGUGCUGCAUUUAGCUGGAAUACUAGAAAGCGAGAAGUGGCAGCUCAGUAUACUGCUGAAGCAGAAUAUAUUGCUGCUGCAGCUGCAGUAAACCAAGGAGUUUGGCUCAGAAAAUUGCUUCUAGAUUUAAAGUUUGAUCAACAAGAAGCAACUGAAUUGUUCUUGGAUAGCAAAUCAGCAAUGGCUAUUGGCAAGAACCCUGUAAAUCAUGGCAGAACCAAGCACAUUAAUGUGAAGUUCCAUGCAAUUCGAGAAGCAGAAAAAUUGAAGGAAGUCAAGUUCAGCUAUUGUAAUUCAAAUAAGCAAGUAGCCGAUAUCUUCACCAAGGCAUUACCAAAGGAGAGGUUUGAAGACCUUAGAUUGAUGCUAGUGGUUUGCAAAGCAAGUCCUAAGGAGGACUGUUGAAAUAAGACUUGCAUUGAAAACCACAUCAGUGCAUGCUAUUAACCUUAGGACCAUAUGUGACCAUUUUGUAUUAAGAUAGCUAGUCUUUUAUCAAAUCAUGAUAGCUAUGCAUCUAGUGAAUGACUUAAGUGAUGAUUAGCAUGUAUUCUUGUGCCUAGCUUCUGAUGAAAGCUUACUUGUUAAGUUUUGCUAUGUAUAUAAACUAUGUCAAUGCAUAUCAGAAAUAUGAAGCUUCUGUUAUUCCAAAAACUAUCUUUCACUUGCUUUGCUUUCAUACUCAUCAUAUAUCUAGCAAAGCACAACACAUGCAUGGCAGUACAACCUUGCUCCAGUAUGCGAGUCUAUCCAAUUCAGCAAUUCUCAUAAUAUCAUUACACAAGAUUAAAACUGAAAUGCAUUUACUAUAACUAAACUAACUGCAGCUUUUACAAGUAAUAUCAAAUGCAAUUAACCACUGAAUUACACUAAUAAAAACAACCAAACCUAACAUCUGCAUUACCAUAAUAAGAACAACAGUCAACCACUAAUUUCAUCAGACCAUAACUUUCUUACAAGAUGCUAUAGGCAUAAGAGCCCCUCUUGAAACGACCUUAAUUAGUCAGCAGCCCGAUGAGGUUUCUCUGCGGUGCUGCCAUGGUCAUCUACUUCUCCAUCAGUUUUCUUUCUUUCCUUUUUAUUCUUUGGUUUGUGAAUAAACAUCAUCCUCUCUGUCAUGCUUACACCCCUGGUCGACGGCACUUGUUUGAUUUGGGGUGAAUGCCCUGAACUAGUUUCCUUUCUUGGAGGUUUUGCACAUAUUCUAAUCUCAAAGUAGGAAAAACAAAAAGAAAACAGAGAAUUAAUGUUAAUUAAGAAAUUAACUUGUCUUAACAGAUUACUGAAGAAAAUAAAUUUUGCAAAUUAUAAGAAAUAUUGGCUUACAUGGCCGUUGCUUUCUUCUGGUAAUUAGCCUAAAUUUGGAUGUUUGGAUCAACGCUUUUGGCAAGGAAGACUCAGCAACAGAACCAUCAAUUAGCAAAUGGAGAAAAAUCCCUGGUUCUUUGUUUCUAUAUUUUGAUCUUCAAGGUGUUGGAGCCUCAAUUAAAGGUAAAAAUUUGCACGUCAUUCAAAAUUUUCAAGCUGUAACACAUAUAAUGGUCUUGCUUUUUCCUGCUGAUUAACUCCAUGCCAUCAGUGGACUGCGAGCGGUGUCUUUCGUGACCACUUUGGAAAUUGAAAAUGCAGUUUUUUGAUCAAACUUGAAAGCUGUUCUACAUAUAGAGUAAAAUUAUGAACUAUUUAUUGGAAUUUGUCGAUAGCAUGGGAUGAGGGAUUUCGUAAGGUGAUCUUGACUAUAUAUAACAAAUCUGCUGCACAGUUGAUUCAAAUAGAAAAAGAUGAAUUAAAUACUAAUCCAAUCAUUUGAUAAAUUUUCUUGUAAAUGUGACUUUUUAAUAUCCUGUUGGUACGAAACUUCUCCAGGAUCUUCUUAAAGUUAGUGCUUCAAUUUUAUUAAACAAUAUGAAAAUUUCAUUCCACGUGUUAUUUUAACUUAAAUAUAUUUAUUUUUAUUUCUUUUUUAAAAAAAUAAUGUUUUUGAUUAUUGUUUAAUUUCUCUUCUUGACUCUUUUCAGUUUUGUUAGUCCUUUCUUUCUGCUCUAACACGACCGACCUCAUGCAUAGUAUUAGUUUGGUAGUCGGGUUUUUCAUCCCAGACAUGACUGAUUUCUUUGGCUGCAUGCAUUGAAAUUGAUUGGAAAAAGAUAUAUCAGCAUGUUCAUUCAAAUGAAAAAAAAUUAUUAUUCACUUCAACUAAAAAAGAAAGAUACAUUCAAAUUCCAUAUUUUCAUUUCAGAAGGAUGAAAUGGUAGUAGUUUCUUUUAGUAAAUAUUGGGUUUAUCACUUAAUCUCUGAUAGGAUUACUGUUCUUUAAUUUGUAAUUAAAUUUUGUGCUGAAUGAUAAACUUUUUAUUUGUACAUUUGAUGAAUUUCUUCCGAGGAUAUUUAAAUGACAUAUAAUAUUAUGAAUCAGUGAUAAUUAAGUUAAGUAUGAUAUAGUAUAAUUAUGAAUUUAAUUUUGGAUAUAAUAAUGUAUAAAAUUUUUGUUUUAUAUAGUCAUUUAUAUUGUUAUAUAUGAUCUAUUUCAAAUCUACCUUUAUUGUUUAACAAGAACAAAGAUGAGAGAAAAUGGGCAUAAUCAUUGAAAUUACAUAAAGGAAAUCAAGUAAUGCACCACUGAAGACAUAAAAAAAGAUUUGCUGAAGAAAAAAACAAAAGCAUAUACGUUCUCUCUUUUGUUUACCCCGAAGUACUAGCAUCACCAAAAAAAUUAAAAUCUUGUGUACUCCAUGUUGAAUGCGGGCAUAUUACUAUCAAGCAUUUAAGAAGGAAUAAAGAAUGUGUGGAAGGUAAUAAUAUCAAUUAUUGAUUCCAUCCUCCUAUAUACACUGUCUAGACUCUAGAGAAUACGUUCGACUGCAUCCUGUAAUUAGGAAUUAAGGAAGAAAAAUGUUGGUGAAUUUUACCCAUUAAUUCCAAACAAGAAAAGGAAAAGGAACCUUAUACCUUACAACUAUAUACUGUGUCAAGUAAAUCAAGUUAAUGUUUAGUCAUUUUGUAAUUACUUGUUAGUUUUGGUUGGGGGUGCUGAAGGUCUAUAAUAAGAGUAGAAAAAACAAAAAUGCUUGAUUUGAGGUGACGUUUAUUGAAAGAAUUUUCUCUCAAGAGACCAAUAAAUUAGGGUCCCAUGACUUGAGGAAAAGGUGCGUUCAAGUAUUGCCAUUGAAAAUCAUAAUAAAUCUUUCUUUAUUUUUAUGAUUGAAAAUAAAUUAAUUACAAUCGAGUUUUUGAUCAAAAGUCAAGUCGUCGACCGAAAUGAAAGUUCAAACGAGGCUAUUCAACCGGGCUGAAGACCUUCUAGUCUCUGCCCAUCUUCAAACGUAAACGCAUUUUAAAUGAUGGCAGGUGAAGAUCUUUAUUUACGCAUUUUAAAAUUUAAAAUUCCCAAGUCCACAUACUGCAGCUAACAAUGGGAAUAAUCAACAAUUUUCUCUCUAAUCGUUGUACAAGUUACAAUUUUUUAUUAUUGCUUAUUUUCUUAUAUACUCAUUUUCUAGCUGGUCUCUGCUUUCAUUAGCUUCCACCAAACUGUCGAAAAAAUAUUCCUAAGAAAAUUAUUCCAACACAUGGAUUAAUUUGAAACAAAGGAAUAUAAAAGAAUAAAAAUGAAAGUAAUUGACUAUACAAAGAAAGGUAAACUAAGAAGAAAUUAAAUUUUGAAUAAUUUAGAAAUUGUAUCACUAUAUAUUUGUUUACAUCAUAUGCGUUUUAAUUAUACAAUUAACUGAAAAUCUUAUUAAUGAUAGAAUUUCAAGAAAGUUGUAAAAGAUGAUUUUUUUUUAUAAAAAAAUUAAUCUCGUAGGUUUUAAAUCCACAUAUAUAUCCAAUAAAGAAAGACUUGAAACGAAUAUAAGCGUUCUUGACUUAGUUUCCAGCCCCUCUGACCGUCUCUGUCAUGCCUUAACGUUUGGAAUUAGACUUCUGUUAGAAUUGGACAGCUUUAGAGCUUGUUUUUCUUGGCACGAUACAGAGGCGUCAACAAUGGAACAGAACAAGCAUUUAUGACAAGUUUAUUAUACUUUGUUUUUUAGUUAAGAGAAACGUGUGAACACUGGAACAGUUUUUGAAAUUGCAGGAGCAUUUUACAGAUUUCUUGUUCAAUAUGUAUUUGGUGUCCAUAACGUGUGGAGACCGACGCUUCAUUAACAAUCAAACAUUUGCUUUUCCUACCUGAAACGAUCAUUUGUCCAUUUUGCUUUUCUUUGAUUUGCAGGGCCUUUUCACGGUGCAAAAAUCUAUAGAACUAGUCAACCGCAUAGCUUCGCAAAGAAUGCUUCAAGCCUUCAACCAAGUUCGAAACGUGCGUCUGCUAAUAUUUAAAGAAUGAGAGCAUCAACCAACACAAUGAUGCAACAAACUCCGUUGUUUCUUUUUAAAUUUGUCUCAACCACAAAUAUAACCGUAUGGAAAAUACUGGCUUCCUCCUCCCUCUUGUGGUGUUACUCAACUUUGUGGCUGCUUUCUCGGCAGAAUCACCCAAUAUCACCACUGACCAAUUGGCUCUUGUUGCAUUAAAAGCCCAUGUCACUCAUGACCCUCAAAACAUAUUGGCAACCAACUGGUCUACUACUACCUCCGUUUGCAAUUGGAUUGGUGUCACUUGCAGAUCCGAUCAUCAAAGAGUCGUCACUCUUAAUCUUUCUGACAUGGGUCUUGUAGGCACCAUCCCACCUCACUUGGGAAAUCUCUCUUUUCUUACUCAGCUUAACAUCCGAAACAACAAUUUUCAAGGCUCGUUACCCAUGCAGUUGGCUAAUUUGUCUUCCUUGCAAUAUAUAAACUUCGGUAACAACAACUUCGUUGGGGAAAUCCCAUCAUGGUUUGAUUCCUUCACUCAACUUCAGAGAUUGUCUCUGUACAGUAACAACUUCUCUGGUAUUAUCCCAUCUUCUUUGGGUUCUUUGUCAAAGCUUAAGGAGUUGUUCCUAUAUGACAAUGAUUUGAAAGGGCAGAUUCCUGUAACCAUCGGAAAUCUUUCUAAGUUGAAAUUGUUGGACUUGCGACAGAAUCAGCUUUCAGGUUGCAUAUAUUUUUUCGAUCUUCAAUAUAUCUUUAUUGUGAAUAUUGGUUUCAACACUAAUAAUCUCAUUGGAGGUCAACUUCCAUUGGCUUUAUUUGAUCACCUUCCUAAAUUACAAUUUCUAAUGUUGGAAUGGAACAAUGUUUCAGGUAAAAUUCCAACCAGUUUAUUCAAGUGCCAAGAGUUAGAAGAUUUAAUUUUAUCUAACAAUGCCUUGGAGGGAAGUGUGCCUCAAGAAAUCGGAAAUUUGACUAAAGUAAACAACUUGUUCUUCAGUUCAAACAACUUAACAGGUAUGCUUACCAUGGACAUUCUUUUAGACAAAUUAAAAUAAUUAAGUGGUAAUUUAUUUUUAUUUGUGAGUUUAUAUUUAUGAUUUCAGUUUAAUUACACAAGUAAAUAAAAAUCUUACGAAUGAUAUAUAAAAAUUGACAAUACUACGAAACGGGCCCAAACACUAGUAAGAUUUAAAAUUCACAAAAUUAUUCGAUAAAGAAAGUCUUGAAACGAAUAUAAGUGUUCUAGACUUAGCAGGUUUCUAAUGGUGUGGGAUACUUUUGACUAUGGAGAAAUGAAUUCCAAUUUCUUAGCUCCUGCCCUUCGUACUGUCUUAACAUUAGAAAAAAUAUGACUUCCACUAGCUUAGAGCUUGUUUUUCUUGGCAAGUUACACAAGUGUAAAAACUGGAACGAAGCAAGCAUUCAUGACAAGUUUAUUAGACUUUUGUUUUUUGGCUAAUAGAGAAGUAUGUCCAUACCCAUAUAUGAAGUAAAGCUCUGUUUUUAAGAAUAAGAUCAGUAAUACCCACACCACUGCAAUUCCUUGGUUUACAAAUUCUCUCCCAAUUAAUAAGAUGUAAUUUCCUUUUCUCGUUUGACUCACCCUAUAAAAUCACCUCUGAAUUUUGUCUAACUCAUUUUAAACCAAGAUUGGCAUUUGGAACAAAGACAUUUAGUGAACAUGGAGACCAGAUGGAACAACUCUGAUUAAUGUAGUACGACCACCAAUAGAGAGUAGCUUCGAUUUCCAGCAAGCUAACCUGGCUUCAAAACACUCCAACAACAGACACCAAAAAUUAACCGAAUUAGCACUAGAACCCAAUAAGAGGCCCAAGUGCAUAGUUGGCCCAAGAAUUUAGAGUGCUCUAAUCCACGCCAAUUCCAUAAAGAACGCUUUUCUGAAAAUUGAUUUUCGGACCUGCCACAGCUCCAAAACAUCUUAACACCCUUUUGAUUUUAGUAAGAUCCUUGAAAUCAGGUUUACAGAGAACAAGUGUGUCAUCAACAUAUUGUAGAUGCGUAACUAUGAAACCAUUUCUCCCAAUAACAGCACCUCUGAACAGUCUGAGGUCAACCGCCUUAUACAUUAAAAUCCCAAAAUCCUCAACCACUAAAUUAAAGAGAAAAGGAUAAACUGAGCAACCCUGUCUCAAUUCUCUAUACAUCUUAAAUUGGCGAGUAGGAAUGCCAUUAACAAGAAUCGAGACAACAAUACAAGAAACGCAAAAACUGAUAUCCAAUUCCUCCAUCUAUCACCAAAUUACCUUUUCUUUAUAACAAGAUCCAUAAACCCCUAAUUAACACUGUUGAAAGCCGUUUCAAAAUCAACUUUAAGUAUUAAACCACGAUUACCAUAUUUUCGCAUAUUAUCCACAACUUCAUUUGUGAUCAAGGAGCAAUCAAGAAUCUGUCUACCCUUUAUGAAUGCAAAUUGGUUAUUACCAACCACCUCCUUAACCACCCUCCUCAUAUAAUUAGCCAAAACCUUUGCCAUAAUCUUGUACAAACUACUAACCAAACUAACCGGAUAAAAGUCCUUCAGUCCUUCAAGAUCACAUACCUUAGAAAUGAGAGUAACGAAGGAAGCAUUGAUCUUCUGAUCCAUAAACCCUGUAACAGAAAAGUUACCUACAAGCUACAUCACACCGUCUUUAAUCCAUCUCCUUUGCUUCUUGAAGAAGUUCAAAUUAUACUCGUCUGGUCCUGUAACUUUAUUACUAUCACAACAACUCUCAAUCGGUUCCUAAACCUCCUCCAUGGAAAAUGGUUUUUCCAACUGAUUUGUUGAAUUUUUGUACAAAGUCUUAAAGCUGCAGUGCAACUCCUUGAGUUUAGCAACCCUUUUCCCACUAUAAAGAUUUUCAUAAAAAUUCGCAACCUCUUCUUUAAUCAUACCAAGGUUGUCCACUAACCUUCCCUGGAUUAUUAAACUAUUAAUAGAGUUAACCCUUCUUCCAGAAGCUACUGCAUGAAAAAUUUAGUAUUAUGAUCUCCUCCCAAGAACCACCUAAUUCGAGAUUUCUGCUACUACGAUCUUUCUUCAGCCUUACAAAGCUCCGACGGUCUAGAUUUCAUCAUUACUAAUUCAUUCCUUAUUUCAAUAUCCUCACCCCCAUCUUGAGUAGCCAUUGUUUUCUCAUGAAUGGACAAUCCAAGCUUCUCGAUCUCUUCAGGUUGUUAUGCCAUUCCUUAAUUUUAGGCUUCAUGGCUCUCAAUCUGUGCCAAAUUCCGCUAUUGCUCGACUCCCCUGAAUCACUAUUCUACUAAGCAAACUCAAAUAUUUUUUGGAACUCUCCAUUAUCCAACAAGUGGUUAAAUAUUUUGAAUGGUUUCAGACCCCAAUUAAGCACCUCUCCACUAGAUCACAUUGGAUUGCGAUUUGAUAAAGAUCUUGGAAGGCAUUUUGAAUCAUGUUAUCUUGCCAAUCAAAGAAAAUAGGAUUCACCAGAAAUCUGUCAAUUCAGCUGAAGGAUGAACUCCCUCUAAUUCUUCCCCCGAGUGAAUUUGCCCCCUACCAUAGGCAUAUUGAUCAUUUGAAUGGCGAAAAUUAAGCCAACAAAGUCCACAGAGCUCCUAUCAUCAUCCAAACCACUACUACGCUCCCUACUGUUCAUAACCGCAUUGAAGUCACCUCCAAUGCACCACUUAACACUUAGAUCCCUUGAUUUAUCAAUCAAAUCAAGCCGUAGCUCACUUCUGGCCUCAACCUCAUUUCGAUCAUAAAUGUUGCCCAAACCACAAUUUCAAUCCCCUUUUCUGAUACGAUCCACUAACAGGAUGUAGUGCCUUUCCACUAUACUUGAAUCUAACUCAAAAAAGCUUCUCUCCAACCACCUCUGAUUGUUUGAAUUUAAAGUCUUGAGCCCCCACUAAGAACUUGAUAUAUCUACUAAACUUUCUACUCAACUUCGACUCUUGUAAAAAAACAACAUCCGGUUUUGUCCUACCAACGAGUCUUCUAACUGCUCGCUUCUUCUCUCCUCUGCCUAAACCUGUUACGUUCCAAGUUACAAAAAUCUUAAUCACAAUAGAACACACAAAACUCACAAGAAGUUAUUGUGCUGCUUUCGCCCUAUUUUCCUCCUCCAAUCUAGAAAACUCACAGACCACUUCACCUCUAUUGGUUUCAAAAACAAAUCCCAAUCGAGAUGACACAUUCCAGGUUGUUUCAGGUUCUUGAAUAAUAAUCAUGUUUCUUCUCAAUAUGUCGCUGUCGGAAAGGGAGUCAUAUGAAUUCCUACCUGACAUAAUAUCCCUGAGAUUUCUUCUGAUUUUCCUUCUCUUCCUCACACCAGAUCCUAUGCGAACACUAAGGCCUGUAUUUUUUCUAAAACCAGACGAAGGAGACUUAAAGUUUUUACCCAACCUUUCUGCAACAGGAGACAUAAAUAAACCAAAUCCACCAGCAUCCAUUAAUCGUUCUUCUUGUUCAGUUAAUAGAACAUCCACCAAAUCAGCUUCUUGGAAGGAUCCUUCAACUGAAGCUAAUGCCUCAUUAUCAAUAUUUCUCGUAUCAUUUGAACCCGCUAACACAUCAUGAACCUCAGUUGACUCCUCGACCGUCUCCUUGUUAGAGUGCUCGGUAGUCAAUAAUCUGGACUCCUCACCUGAGUUAUUAAUCUCAAUGUCUUCUGAUUCCUCAAGCCUUAGACAACUUUCAGGAAUAACAAUUAUUGCACCAUUGUCACCAUCAGCUUCCCUCCGACACCCUUACAGCACCAACAUCGACCUUCUUUUGACACUACCAUUCUUCCUUCAGCGCAACUUGAGCAAUAUCUUCUUUUUUCUUCUUCUUUUGUACAGUAAUCACUUUUCUGGUGUUAUCCUGUCUUCUUUGGGCUCUUGGUCAAACACUGAGAUGUUGAUGGUAAUGAUAUGAAAGGGUAAAUUCCUAUAGCAAUCAGAAAUCUUUCUAAGUUGAAAUUAUUUCAUUUGGGAGAUAAUCUGUUUUCAGGUUGCAUAUCUUUCUCCAUAAUCAAUAUUUCUUUAUCGUAAAUAUUGAUUUCAACACUAAUAAUGUCAUUGUAGAUCAACUUCCAUCAGCUAUAUUUGAUCAGCUUCCUCUAAGUUUAAUUAAGAUCCAACCAUCUUUCUGGUAGAAUUUUGACCAAUUUAUUCAAAAGUCAAGAGUUAGAAAUCAAUGCCUUGGAGGGAAGUUUGCCUUAAGAAAUCGGGAAUUUGAAUAAUUUUGUUUUUUUGAAAAAUAAAGAUAAAUAAAAUAGAUGCUUAGUGCUCAUAGAAGAAAAUGCAAGGUAAAAUUUUAACCUAGUUUGAGGGACUGAAUUUUAUGUUUCAGGUGAAAUUCCAUCAACUGUUGGAAACUUGACUUCUAUUAAGCACCUUGAGUUUUGGGGUAACCACUUGACAGGUAUAAUAUCAUCUUUCUUCUCCUUUUCAAUUGUAAUUUGCAUAUCAAUCUGCAAUCCUUUUUAAGUAUUUGAGAUGAAAAUUAUACAUUAUACUUCUUUAAUUGUUAAAAGUAUUAAUUAAUGCAAUGCUUUGACACAUAAUUCAAGAAAAAGGUUUUCCACUUUAAGAUUUUUUAUUAAUUGAUUUUUAAUACCACAAUGUAAAAGAAAAAUGAAAAUCUACAUCUAAUACAGAAAAAUUAAAAAUUUUAGAUAUUCAUAAAAAUGAGAAAGAACCUAAAUUUAAAACAUUUAAAAAUGUAAAUGUUAAGACUAAUUGAUAAAGAACUAUAUUUUCAUGAUAUUUUUUAAAAAAACUUGACAUUAAAAAUCAUAAUACAUCAAUUUUAUAAAAAAAUUAAAAUUUUAAUAUUUCAAUAUUUUUUUUGUCAAUUUUUCUGGAAGUUAAAUAAUGACAAAUAAUUCAUGACAAAUUAAUGGAGUAAUCUUUUUUCCAUAGUUUGUGCUUGCAUAUUAUUAAGUUCCAUUAUAAUUUUCUGAUUCAACUUAUGAUUUGUAAUAUAUGGAUAGUGAUGUGUUAAGAUUAUAGUUUGGAUCUAUCCAUGGUCAUAAUUUUGGGUUUUCAGCUUAUGGAUGUUUGUCUUUUGUUAAUAUUGAAGUGGGAACACUACUCUAUUCCAUUGGAUUUGCUUCUUUUGGCCUCUACAAUAUUUCUUCAUUCCACUAUUCUGAGGAAAAAUUAUAGAAGAAAAAUAGAAAGAAAGAAAUUAGAAGUUAUAGAAUUUUUUUAAUUAUAGAAUUUAUAGUAUCUGGCUAAAGCUUUUAUGUAUAAGAAGGAAGCCAAAGAACAUAAAAAUCAUGUUCUUUUUUUUUUUUUUUUUGCUUCUAUACUUUCAUAAUAUGCGUGUCUUGAAUUGCUGUUUGAAUUCCUUUGGUUAUAUUAUUGCUAUUGCUUUUAUCUUUCUUUAUUAUUUCUCUCUCUCUUUGUUAUGUUAGUAGAUUGUGGCCAAUCAUACCUAAAUAAAAAAAAAUUGAUGACGACUCCAUUACAAGUUGAGUGUUUAGGUUUUCGGACCCACACGUUAUGACAAUAUUAAUAAUUUUUUUCUACUUUUUUGUUUGUCCACAAACUUUUGAGUUAUACAAAUAGAGGUAGUCCUCUACAUAUCUUAAGAUUCAAAUAUAAAAGUUUUAAGUUUUAAUGUUUGUGUCGGUUAACGAAUAUUGGCAUAAUGUGGAAUUCCUAAAACUUAGCUAUUUGAUGUAAAAAAGAAUCACCAUCAUUUUUUUUUAUUUAGGUGCGAUUGAUCACCUAGUUGAAUCUAUUUUUUCUAAUGAAAUCUUAGGCUUAACUUAGGUUCAUUAAAAAGAAUAGAUUCCAGUUUACGAAGCAAACCAGUUUCAAAAGUAUUACAUAUGAGGAAGAUAUUAGAACCUUCACAACAUUUAUUUAAUUGGUAGCUAAUUAAUCAUAGGUUGUCUUUUUAGCCUGUUUAAUUCAACAUUUAAUUUUAUUUUCUUCACCUAUUUUGUUAUUUUUAUUGUCUUUGUUAAUUUAUUUUAUUUUAUCAUUUUGUAAAUAAAUAAAACUCUUUGGUAUUUGAAUUUUCGUUGAAGACCCCAACACUUAGACAAAAUUCAAGAAAAAUAUCUUACCUAGAAAUUUCAAGAAGCUAUCACUUAUAACCUUCUCGAAAAUUCCAUCAUUGGAGAAUUUUUAUUUAUAUGUGUUUCUAUUAAAUUGACACACACAUGAAUGUUAUGGCUCUAUUCCUAAUUUACAAAACAUUUUGUUUAUUAAUAUUUCAUAUUUGUAAUAACUAUUUAAAAAAUGAACCUUUUUUUGUAAGAUUAAUAUAUGAAAUUACCCUCCAACACAUAUGGCAAGGCCCCAUAAUUAUUUUUACUUUGAAAUAUGUAAAAUAGUUACCACUUAUAACCUUCCUUAAAAAUUUCAUUUAAAAUAAUUUUCCUUAAAUAAUUAUAAAUUUUUUCUAUUUAUUAAAAUCUAUUUUACUAUUUCAUCAUAUUCUAUUGCAUGAUUUAUUGUUUUUUAUGUUUGUGAUAAUUAUAUAAAAAUAGAUCUUUUCUGUAAAAAUAAUUUAUGACAAUACUUAUGGUAAGAUCCCAUAAUUAUUUUUACUCUAAAAAACUUUUAUAAAAAUUUAACACUUGUACCCCUCCUUAAAAAUUUCAUUUAAAAGAUUUAUCCUUAAAUAGUCAUCGCUCUUGAUCUUUCUAACAUGGGUCUUAUAGGCACUAUCCCACCUCACUUAGAAAUCUAACUUUUCUUGCUCAACAUAACAUCCGAUUUAAUAAUUUUCAUGGCUCAUUGCCCAUGGAGCUGACUAGUUUGUCUUGGUUGAAAUAUAUAAACUUUGGUAACAACAGUUUUGGUGGGGAAAAUUCCCAUCAUUGUUUGAUUCCUUCACUCAACUUCAGAGCUUGUUUCUAUACGGUAACAACAUCUAUGAUGUUAUCUAGUCUUCUUCGUGUUCUUAAUUUGUCAAACUUUGAGGAUUUGCUCCUAUAUGACAAUGAUUUAAAAGUGCAGAUUCCUAUAGCAAUUAGAAAUGUUUCUGACUUGAAAUGGUUGUGUUUGGGAGAUAAUUUGUUUUCAGGUUGCAUAUCUUUCUCCAUCAUCAAUAUUUUUUUAUAGCAAAUAUUGAUUUCAACAAUAAUAAUCUCAUUGUAGGUCAUCUUCCAUCGACUAUGUUUGAUCACCUUUCGAAAUUGCAAAGUUUGGAUUUUCAUAACAACAAUCUAUUUGGUAGAAUUCCAACCAAUAUAUUCAAGUGCCAAGAGUUAGAAUUUUUAUCUUUAGGUUGGAAUGACUUGGAGGGAAGUUUGCCUCAAGAAAUUGGGAAUUUGACUAAAUUAAUCCACUUGCAUCUCGACAUGAACAACCUAACAGGUACGCUAAUUAUGGGCCUUCUUUUUAGACAAAUUGAAAUGAUUAGCUGUCAUUUUUUUUAUACAUGAGUUCAAAUUUUGGAUUUCAAUUUUUACUUUGGUUGAACUUGAAAACUUAAAUUAAAAGUAAAAAAUUUAAAUUCCAAAUUUAGUAUAAAUAUGGCUGAUAGAAUUCGUGAAAAAGCUGACUUUCUUAAUUAUUGUAGAAUUUAUCAGAUUUAGACAAUUUGAUAUCCAAUUACUUAUACCCUCCAAAAUACUUGUAUCAAUGUUUUUUUUGAAAAGCCUAAGUAUUUUUAUUAAGAACCGCAGCCAUUGUGCCAUCUAAAGUCUCUAGCCAAGGGGGCUUGGAGACUUCUGAUGGCAUAUGGACCCUGGCUACUCGGUAUGGAACACUGUACAAUUGCAUCAGCGUGCCACUUACAAAAGAACUGCAACACCACUUAAACCUCAUUGUUACAAAAAUUCCUUCCUUAUUAGACUUUGUUAAUCCACUGCCUUUACAUUCCUAACCUCAGUCACUUAACUUGGAAUGGCUCACAAAACUGUACACAAACCAUUCCCUAAAGCAUUUUCCAGGACAAUGAAGAUCACACGAAAAUAUUACACAAUCAAAAGGUAUGAAUAUGAGAACUCAACUGUUCUCAUUAUCCCUUUCUCUCAUAAUAUGCAAGAUGUCUCUUCCAGCAUCAUCCAAGACCUUAUGUCGAGCCAUCCAUCAGGGAUCCAUCGCACCACUCCCUUAGAUGCUAUCACCCUCCUUCUUUAAAAACAGUCCAUUCUUCCUCUCACCACAUUUCCCCUCUUCCACAAUUUUUUAUAAAACAAAAUAAUUAAUUUAAAAUAUAUAAUGAAAAGUUAGUACUACUUAUAAUAUAAUUAAUCUAUAUAAAAAUAGAACCACCCGUUUUGUCAUCUUAAAAAAUUAAAUAUAUUGUGCAUAAUCUUUUUUUAAAAAACUAAAAGUUGAAUAAAAUAGUAACUUAGUGCUCAGGAAAGAAAAAAAGGCUUUAUUUGUAGUAAAAUUUUAAGGGGAGAAUUUCAUUUUCAGGUGUAAUUCCAUCAACUACUAGAGGCUUGACUUCUCUUGGAGCCCUUCACAUACAGUCUAACAAUUUCACAGGUAUCAUCUUUCUUUUCCUUUUUAUCCUAUUUCUGCACAUAUAUAUAUAUGCAAUCCUGUUUUAAGUAUUUGUAAUAUUUUCAUUCUUGGUUACAAAGUAGAAAACGAUACAAUAAAAAGAUUAUUAUAAUUAUAUAUCAACGAUUAAACAAAAGAAAAAAAAAACAAUGACACAUCAGAGAGUGUAUCAUUUUCUUUAACUCUAUGUGCGCAUCAGAAAUCAUUUAGUUAGAGCAAAUUAUUUGUGUCUAUGUAGAAUACUAGUAAUUUCUUAUUUGAGGGUUUCCUUUUGUUAGAUGGAAUAAGAGUGGAUGUUGACUUAAAAAGCCAAAAAAAAAAAUAAUAAUGAAGAAUUGGUUUUCAUAGUUUGUACUCGUUUCAUUAGAAUGUUCUUAUUCAACUUAUGAUUGGGGAGUGAUGUUAAAGUAAGUUCCAAUUGAGCAAAAGGAAGUAUCAUUUUUUGUAUUUUUAUAAAACGACUUCUUCCAAAAAAUAUUCAAUCUCUUAACCUUUGUUCAUAUUUUCUUCAAGGACCGCUUCCAACUCUACCACCUUCAUUACUUUGGUUCCGCGCAUCAGAGAAUCAGUUAGUUGGAGAAUUCCCUUCCUCAAUAUGCAAUUUGAGCUCCCUUCAAUUUCUCGACUUAGCUAUGAAUAAUUUGGGCGGAAUUAUUCCAGAAUGUUUUGGAAAUUUAACUUCCUCUCUUUUACAGAUGAAUCUAUUUAUGAAUAACUUUCAUGGAAAAUUAUCAAGAACUUUGUUUCCUAAAAGUUGUUCGUUGAUAAGUUUUCGCAUCAACAACAACCAGCUUGAAGGGCCAAUACCACAAUCCUUGGUUAACUGCAAGGACUUGGCACUUCUAGAUUUGGGGAACAACAACUUAAGUGGCACCUUUCCUAGUUGGUUAGGUAAAUUGAAUCUACAAGUUCUCGGCUUAAGAUUCAAUAGAUUCCAUGGUCACAUUGUCAAUUCUGAAGUUGCAUCUUCCUUCCCUCAUUUGCGGAUCAUUGAUCUCUCUCACAAUGAGUUCAGCGGUUGCUUACCACCAAAACUUUUAGAAAGUUUGAAUGCUACAAGCAAUGGGUAUGAAAAGAAAGGUGAAGUAGAGUUCAUGAGAACUGGUAGCACUUACGGUUUCUCUGUGUAUUAUGAUGAAUCUUUCUAUAUUACAAUAAAAGGGUUGGAGAUAGAGUACGCGAGAAUCUUAACCUCUUUGAUGGUUGUUGACUUCUCAAAUAAUCAAUUCAGUGGACAUAUUCCUGAAAUAAUUGGAAAACUUCAAUCACUUAUAGUCCUCAACCUUUCUCACAAUAGUUUCACAGGUCCUAUCCCGUCAUCCUUAAGUAAUUUGUCUAAGGUUGAAUCAUUAGAUCUCUCAUCAAACAAGCUUGACGGAAGAAUUCCAGUUCAGUUAAACAAUCUUGGAUUCUUAGCGUUAUUAAACCUUUCUUGGAAUAAUUUCAUCGGAUCCAUUCCUAGAGGCAAACAAUUUGAUACUUUCACAAAUGAUUCCUACAUUGGAAACUUUGGUUUAUGUGGAUUCCCAUUAUCAAAAAGCUGUGGAAACGAUCAGGGUUUGGAACCACCUCCAACAAUAUUUGAUGAUGAUGAUGAUGAUACAACAAAAGAAUUGAACUGGAGAUUUUCUAUAUUGAUGGGGUAUGGAUGUGGGCUAGUAUUCGGAUUGAGUAUGGGAUACAUGGUGUUCACAACUGGAAAACCGUCGUGGUUCAUUAAGAUGACCAAAAGAGUUCAGCAAAAAUAUGUUAGAAGGACAUAAUUAAUGCUCUCAGGUGAGUUUUAGUACUUCUAAAAGCAUAACAGUAUUUAAUUACCAUUACCAUUUUUCCUUUUAACAAGAUGUAAGGUUUAGCUUUGACAAGGUUUAAAAAAUUUCCCAGGUUGGAUGUGUUCCAGUUAAGGACAAUACUCCCAAGGGAAGCCAAAUCAUCCAAUAAGACAUUGGCAAAAAUAGGAUUCUGACAAGGAGAUUUUUCAAGCCAUGUGUGGUACGGGUUCUAUCAUUUUAUAUAUUGUCGUGAACUUUCUUUUGUAUAUAUUCUCACAGCUUUUGUUCGACCCUUGAGAUGAUUUCCUUUUCUUUUUUCAGAUUAUUAGAUUGUUAGUCAAUAAUUUCAGUUGUAUUAUUCUUAUCCUAUUUAUUUUAUAGAUGAUUUUCAUGUGACCUUU
RNAcentral lists this long non-coding RNA (27425 nucleotides) under Theobroma cacao (cacao). RNAcentral's name for it is "long non-coding RNA (TCAC_LNC004305)". The record is from RNAcentral. Lineage: Eukaryota; Viridiplantae; Streptophyta; Magnoliopsida; Malvales; Malvaceae.